This 491-nucleotide ribosomal RNA is filed under the name uncultured bacterium. RNAcentral describes it as "partial 16S ribosomal RNA". It matches the Rfam family "Bacterial small subunit ribosomal RNA", at positions 28 to 507 of the family's 1533-position model. The record is from RNAcentral.
GAUGAACGCUGGCUACAGGCUUAACACAUGCAAGUCGAGGGGAAACGACGGGGAAGCUUGCUUCCCCGGGCGUCGACCGGCGCACGGGUGAGUAACGCGUAUCCAACCUGCCUCUGACUGAGGGAUAACCCGUCGAAAGUCGGCCUAAUACCUCAUGGCAUCGUCUGCGGGCAUCCAACGACGAUUAAAGAUUUCAUCGGUCAGAGAUGGGGAUGCGUCUGAUUAGCUUGUUGGCGGGGUAACGGCCCACCAAGGCGACGAUCAGUAGGGGUUCUGAGAGGAAGGUCCCCAACAUUGGAACUGAGACACGGUCCAAACUCCUACGGGAGGCAGCAGUGAGGAAUAUUGGUCAAUGGGCGAGAGCCUGAACCAGCCAAGUAGCGUGCAGGAUGACGGCCCUAUGGGUUGUAAACUGCUUUUAUGCGGGGAUAAAGUGAGGGACGUGUCCUUCAUUGCAGGUACCGCAUGAAUAAGGACCGGCUAAUUCCGUG